RNAcentral lists this ribosomal RNA (596 nucleotides) under uncultured bacterium. RNAcentral's name for it is "bacterial SSU rRNA". It matches the Rfam family "Bacterial small subunit ribosomal RNA", at positions 112 to 704 of the family's 1533-position model. The record is from RNAcentral.
AAUACAUCGGAACGUGCCUAGUAGUGGGGGAUAACUACUCGAAAGAGUAGCUAAUACCGCAUGAGAUCUACGGAUGAAAGCAGGGGACCUUCGGGCCCUGUGCUACUAGAGCGGCUGAUGGCAGAUUAGGUAGUUGGUGGGGUAAAGGCUUACCAAGCCUGCGAUCUGUAGCUGGUCUGAGAGGACGACCAGCCACACUGGGACUGAGACACGGCCCAGACUCCUACGGGAGGCAGCAGUGGGGAAUUUUGGACAAUGGGCGAAAGCCUGAUCCAGCAAUGCCGCGUGCAGGAUGAAGGCCCUCGGGUUGUAAACUGCUUUUGUACGGAACGAAAAACCUGGGGCUAAUAUCCCCGGGUCAUGACGGUACCGUAAGAAUAAGCACCGGCUAACUACGUGCCAGCAGCCGCGGUAAUACGUAGGGUGCAAGCGUUAAUCGGAAUUACUGGGCGUAAAGCGUGCGCAGGCGGUUUUGUAAGACAGUGGUGAAAUCCCCGGGCUCAACCUGGGAACUGCCAUUGUGACUGCAAGGCUAGAGUGCGGCAGAGGGGGAUGGAAUUCCGCGUGUAGCAGUGAAAUGCGUAGAUAUGCGGAGG